RNAcentral lists this non-coding RNA (133 nucleotides) under Oryza coarctata. Lineage: Eukaryota; Viridiplantae; Streptophyta; Magnoliopsida; Poales; Poaceae. The record is from RNAcentral.
UGCCAUUUCUUCCCACAGCUUUCUUGACCCUCUUCUUGCUCUCUCCCUGUAAGCUUCCAUUGAUGAUGUUUCUCCAGUGAUGAAAUGAAUGAGGCACAAGAGAAGUUCAAGAAAGCUGUGGAAAGGAAUGGCA